Unclassified non-coding RNA from Callithrix jacchus (white-tufted-ear marmoset), 301 nucleotides. It matches the Rfam family "Metazoan signal recognition particle RNA". From Rfam's summary of the family: The signal recognition particle (SRP) is a universally conserved ribonucleoprotein. NCBI's taxonomy places the organism in Eukaryota, Metazoa, Chordata, Mammalia, Primates, Cebidae. The record is from Ensembl.
GCUGGGUGUGGUGGCACAUGCCUGUAGUUUCAGCUACUCAGGAGGCCGAGACAGGAGGAUCACUGUGAGUUCAGCUGUUCUGGGCUGUAGUGUGCUACACCGAUCGGUUGUCUACACUAAGUUCAUCAUCAAUAUGAUAACCUCUCGGUAGCAAGGGACAACCAGGUUGCCUAAAAAUGGGUGAAUCCGUUCAGGUAGGAAAUAGAGCAGGUCAAAACUCCAAUGCUAAUCAGUAGUGGGAUCGCACCUGUGAGUAGCCAUCACACUCCAGCCUGGGCAACAAUAUGAGAACCAGUCUCAA